UACGGAGGGGGCGAGCGUUAUUCGGAAUUAUUGGGCGUAAAGGGCGCGUAGGCGGCUUGGUAAGUCAAAGGUGAAAUCCCUCGGCUCAACUGAGGAACUGCCUUUGAAACUGUCUGGCUUGAGGCCGGGAGGGGGUAGCGGAAUUCCCAGUGUAGCGGUGAAAUGCGUAGAUAUUGGGAGGAACACCAGUGGCGAAGGCGGCUACCUGGACCGGUUCUGACGCUGAUGCGCGAAAGCGUGGGUAGCAAACAGGAUUAGAAACCCCCGUAGUCC
Molecule: ribosomal RNA, 273 nt
Filed under: uncultured bacterium
Lineage: Bacteria
Description: partial 16S ribosomal RNA
Rfam family: Bacterial small subunit ribosomal RNA
Source: RNAcentral